CACAUGCAAGUCGAGCGGGACAUGCGACGGAAGCGAAGUUUCGGAUGGAGCGGAAGAUGCAUGUCUAGCGGCGGACGGGUGAGUAACGCGUGAGCAACCUGUCCCUUACAAGGGGAUAACACAGCGAAAGUUGUACUAAUACCGCAUAAGACCACGGGAGGACAUCCUUCAGGGGUCAAAGGAGUAAUCCGGUAAGGGGUGGGCUCGCGUCCGAUUAGAUAGUUGGUGAGGUAACGGCCCCACCAAGUCGACGAUCGGUAGCCGACCUGAGAGGGUGAUCGGCCACAUUGGGACUGAGACACGGCCCAAACUCCUACGGGAGGCAGCAGUGGGGAAUAUUGGGCAAUGGGGGGAACCCUGACCCAGCAACGCCGCGUGAGGGAAGAAGGUUUUCGGAUCGUAAACCUCUGUCCUUGGUGAAGAGAGAGAGACGGUAGCCAAGGAGGAAGCCCCGGCUAACUACGUGCCAGCCGCUGC
RNAcentral lists this ribosomal RNA (477 nucleotides) under uncultured bacterium. RNAcentral describes it as "bacterial SSU rRNA". It matches the Rfam family "Bacterial small subunit ribosomal RNA", at positions 52 to 518 of the family's 1533-position model. The record is from RNAcentral.